Molecule: long non-coding RNA, 350 nt
Filed under: Equus caballus (horse)
Lineage: Eukaryota; Metazoa; Chordata; Mammalia; Perissodactyla; Equidae
Description: lncRNA (ENSECAG00000057484.1)
Source: RNAcentral
GGAUACCAGAGUCUGAGCAGGAAGAGAGAGGAUCCAGCAUCUGUGGUGACCUACUACUUUCUGGGAACAGUCCUGGGCUCUCUAUCUGGCUUUCACCCAAAGCAACACGGAGGUGUGUACCAUGCCUACAUGCAGGCCACAGAACAUUGACUUCAUUUAUGUUCACCAAAGAAGAUGUGAGACAAUUUCAAAUCUGAGAAGAAAUAGGGGGAUGCACGCUGAUCUCACCAGCCACCUCUGUUCAUCCGAAUGUGCCCACUGGGAACUCUGCCCCCUGCCGGGUGGCGGAGCUUCAGUGCCAGGGAAACUUUAUGACACAACAGAAUGGGCUCCUCCUUCAUAGUCAGGAC